CUUUGGCAAAAAUAAUUAACAUAAACAUAGUACAUAAUCAGUACAACAGAGAAUCAAUAUUUCAAUUAAGCUUAUUAUAAUCUUUCAACAAUCUGACAAACAAAAAUAACAAUCUCAUAUCUUGUAAACAUUCAAUAAUCACCUGAACUAUUGCUUGCCAUAAUUCUCCAAGUACCAUUUGUAGGUAUCAACAAGACCAUCCCGAAGCGAAAUCUUUGGUGUCCAACCUAAUCCAACAAGCUUUGAAGCAUCCAUAAGCUUCCUUGGUGUCCCAUCCGGCUUAGUCGAAUCCCAAACCAACUCCCCUUUAAACCCCACAACUUCCUUCACCAAUUCAGCUAACUCCUUAAUACUCACUUCCUUCCCACUCCCUACAUUAACAUGUUCUAAAUCACUAUAAUUCUCCAACAAAAACACAACUGCAUCAGCUAAAUCAUCGACAUGUAAAAAUUCCCUUAAAGGAGAACCAGUACCCCACACAACAACUUUAUCAAGAUUGUUAACUUUUGCUUCAUGAAAUCUACGUAACAAAGCAGGCAAAACAUGAGAAUUCUCAGGAUGGAAAUUGUCAUUCGUACCAUAUAAAUUCGUAGGCAUUGCUGAAAUUGCAUCAAAGUUAUGCUGCAAUCUAUAAGCUUGACACAUUUUAAUACCAGCAAUUUUCGCAAUUGCAUACCAUUCAUUUGUAGGUUCCAAAGGAGCAGUUAAAAGUGCAUUUUCAGGAAUUGGUUGAGGAGCAAAUUUAGGGUAAAUACAUGAAGAACCAAGGAACAGAAGCUUCUGAACUUUGUGAUUGAAGGAUGAAACGAUAACGUUCGUUUGGAUUUGCAGAUUUAUAGUGAUGAAAUCAGCUGGGUAAGUAUUGUUUGCGUGUAUGCCGCCGACUUUCGCGGCUGCGAGGAUGACGUAUUGAGGUUUCUCGUCGGCGAAGAAGGAUUCGACCGCGGAUUGAUUAGUGAGAUCGAGAUCGGAAUGUGUACGGAGGAUGAGAUUUGUGCAGCCUAAUUGGUAAAGUUUCCGAACCACGGCGGAUCCGACGAGUCCACGGUGGCCGGCGACGAAGAUCUUAGCGGAAGUAUCUAUCGG
RNAcentral lists this unclassified non-coding RNA (1086 nucleotides) under Hevea brasiliensis (rubber tree). The record is from RNAcentral. Lineage: Eukaryota; Viridiplantae; Streptophyta; Magnoliopsida; Malpighiales; Euphorbiaceae.